GCUGCUACUGUGGCAAUGCUGGAUCCUUUUACCCACGGCACUGGGGCUGGGGAUCUAACCUGGGCCUCCACAGCCGCCUGAGCUGCUACAUUCGGAUUCUUACCCCAAAGCAGGAACUCCUGCAGAUGUAUUUUGGUGUGGGGGGAAGUGAGCUCCACAUCCUCUUACUCCAUCAUCUUGACCCCCCUCCCAGUCUUUCUCUCUUCCUCUCCUCUCCCUUCCUCUCCUCAGAGAGCCCUGGAGAAAGGAAUGAGCACAUACACAAGGUGAUUUUGGUGAGAAGGACCAUGAGGAAAAGAAAGCAGAGUCAUGUGGGAGAAAAAUGACUGAAGUUGUCAAAGCAAGACUCGCAAAGAGGUGACACUUGAGACCCAGAUGAUCAGACUGCAUCAGGACCCCAGGCCGGUAUCUUUGUUGAAAGCAGGAUACAACUCUGGUCAACAUAAGCAGAAAAGGAAUGCGCUGGAAGGGUGUCCAGUAGUUCAGAGAAUGGACAGGAGGCCUGGAAAAUUAGGCCAGCCCAGAGGCCAUUGCUCAGGGAGCCUGGUGGCCGGAACACUGACCAAAGUCCUGUCCCAGAGGGCUCUUGUUAGGACCCAGCUGCCACUGCUCUGAAUACCGACCUCGAACCCCGGACCCACUGGCACAGCACCACCAGAAGGACGUCCAGACCUCAUGACCCUGGACCACGUGUUCACAGGUGAAGGACGGUUUCUGCAGCCGGCACGUGAGAGCCAAACGGUGGGAAGCAGUGCACGAGUCUGCGCCGAAGACAGCCAGUCCAUGCAUGGGGAGGUUGUCUCGGUUGGCGAAGGAACAAAGGGAGGACAUGCUCGGGCCAGGAGAUGCAGUUCCUCGAUCUCGCCACUAGAGGUCAGGAGGUUACCGCUUCAGGGUUGGAAGACGGGCCCUUGGGGGACGGGCUACUGGUGACAGUGGAUGGGGCUGAGACUAGGCAGGGCGUGGGAGACGCAUCUGGCGACUCCCUGGUGAAGGACACCUGCCUUUGGUGUGACUCUUUUGGAUUGCUCUUGGCGUCAAAUCCCUUGUCUUUGUGGGGCUGAGGGAGCAGAGGAAAGAUGCCGGUUUGGGGUCAAAGGUGGAGCUGAUAUAUUGCAGCUUCUCAAAGCAGUCUUUCUCUACCAGAGAUACAAUCUGCAAGGGGUCCUGAAUAGUGCAGGGGUCCUAGUGAAGGUUCUGUCACUCCCUGGGAGGCCUUCUGCCCAAGCACCCCAUCCUCCACCUGGGCGAGCUGUCCAGAAGCCCCACCUCCCAGCCUGACGCUGCCAUCAGCUGGGACCAUUUUUUAGGACCAAGUCUGCACUUGCACAGCCCAGGCCCGGAGAAGGCCUGGGGCUAGGUUCCCAGGGUCCUGGGUUCUUAGCCCGGCUGGGUCCUGUACAGGCCCCUUCUGCUUGUGGAGCCUGAGUUUCCCCAUGUGUCUAAUAAGGAAGCUGUACUGGGCGAGGCUCUAGGUAACCUUCUCAGUUUGCAGUCUGUCAUUUCCAUGUGUUUCUUACAGAGUCUGUGAGGCUCCUCUCUGCAUGAGAGCCCUCAAAGGCAAGGCUAAGAUUCUCAGAGUACACCCAGAUACAAGGCCCCUCGACAACAGAUCGUCUCCCACUUCGGGCCUUCAGAGCUUCCCCUUUCAGCUGUGUGGGAAAGAGGGACGCCUUGCCUCAGUCCCCCAGAGGAAGGCAGGGCCUGGCCCCCACGUUCGGAGGCUGGGGAAAAGCGGAGUUCCGGGGCCAGGCUGCGGGGACCUCCGUGGAAGCCCUAGGUGGUACAGGUCAUUUCAGAGCCAUCUGGAGGAUGCGGCCGCAGGACAGGGUGCCGAGGCCCCCGCUCCUCCUUCCCCCACAGCACUUAGGGCUCAGCAGAGAUGCUGAAGACUGGCUAACGGCCCAGGAGGGAGAGGACGGGGGAGGACCGUCCCCCAGGUAAGCGGAGGAUGUGGCAGUCAGAAGACCUGAGCCUGAGUCCUGGUAGCCGGGGACUGUUGCAGCUGCAGGACCUUGGUAACUACUCGGCUUCUCUGAAUCUGCUUCCUCAUCGGUCACGGGGGUGGGGGGGGUGGGGGGUGACAAUUAGACCCAUUGCACAGGACUGUACCGAGUGGGGGUGGAGUCCUGUUUUCCCUGCAAACUGAAAAAGGGUGAUGGGCACUUGGUGGGAUUCAAAUCAUCGCCCAGGCCUCAGAUGGUAAUGUGCUUUGUGUCUGCAGCAGGAGGGCCAGCCCUGGCCCUGUGAGCCCGGCACCAGCGCUGGCGUGGGUGGGCAGCAGGCAGGGUGAGGCAGGCAGGCAGCUAGCAGGGCUUCCUGUGUGCAAGCCCAGCACCCCAUUCCCCCUGAAGUGUGGUGUCUGGCGCUCUGGGCUGGGGGCGCGGCCGGGGCCAUGGGCCCUGGUCUGCCCCAGUUGUGGCAGGACUGGAAGGCCUCGGGCAGGUCACUUUCCCUCUCUGGCUCCAUUUCCCAUCCGUGUAGUGAUGGGUUGAACGUGGAAAUUCCUGGGUUCUGUAUUUGUCCAUCUAGUGUUCCUGGAGACCCCUUGGUUGGCAGGAAACGUCUGGAGCUUCAGGCCUGGGCCCAAGAUUCUGACGCCCUCAACUUUUUCCUGGUGACCCUGACCUGGGGUACAGGGUGGCUCUCUUGGCUCCUGGAGGGCAGAGGCAGCCCCAGAGGCUUUCCCAGCAACGAGCCCCUGGACUGUGUCUGGGUCCUCCUGGAAGGGACAUCAGUAGGGCUAGGAUGCACAGCAGCCCUGGGGGCCCCCUACUUCCCAACCCUGAUCCCGGAAGGGCCCUGGGGCGGGGGCGGAGGGGAGAGGAGCAUGAGGACAAGGAGGACGUCUCGAUUCUUUUCAUGCAAAGAUCAAGGUGCUCUUUCUCUUUUGACCACAGCUGAGCUGAUGCUUAAGCUAGGAGCGCUCAGAGGCAGGAUCCACCCUCCAGCUUCCUCAGCAGGAGAGCGAUCAAAGGCUGCCUAGAAACCCCACCUACCCUUCAAGGCCUUGCUGAAGCAUCACCUCUUUGGGGAAGCUGAUCCUGCUCUCCCAGUAGAGCCAACAGAAUCCAUAGCCGUGCAGGUACCUGCAGUAUAAGCCAGCGACAAGCAGAGGUGGGGAGACGCUCUAAGGACACACGGAGCCGGCAGGGCGUGGAACUGCUCUGUCCCCACAGAUUCCCCAGCCUCCCGUUCGUCCUAGUUGUCGGACGUCCCCAGCUCUACUCUGUGACAAAGGAAAGACUAGAAAUUAAGCACUGACCGCGUGGGGGUGGGGAGAGGAGCGAAGACAUGGUCUCUCCCGCAGCCUCAGAGAGCCGCCGGACCCCGCAACCACCCCGUGCACUUCGCCACCAGGGGACCUGGCGGACAGCCUUCCGCUCGGCCACGCAGGCCUACAGACCGCACUCCGGGCGCACUCGCCCAAGCAUUAGGUUCCAUGGAAGAAGCAAGCUAGAAUCCCACUUCCUUUAUGAGAAAGUCUGGAAAACGCAAACCUAUGGCAACAGAAAACAGACCAGCCAUGGCCUGGGGCCAGGGGACCUUUCUGGGGCAAUUGUGUGGGUGUCUGAGCCGUGGUGGUGACCAGACUGCAGGUCCGUCUCCCUUCAAACGGGGAGAGACCUGCUGGAUGGAAGUUAUGCCUCAGUAAACCGGACUCUUUGCACAAGCUGGGGGGUUCCUUGACCCCCUGCCAGAGACAGUGAA
Phacochoerus africanus (Common warthog) is the source of this 3711-nucleotide long non-coding RNA. RefSeq lists it as uncharacterized. The transcript is spliced from 5 exons. The record is from RefSeq and is a predicted model, not a curated record. NCBI's taxonomy places the organism in Eukaryota, Metazoa, Chordata, Mammalia, Artiodactyla, Suidae.